This 1407-nucleotide ribosomal RNA is filed under the name metagenome. Its description in RNAcentral is "bacterial LSU rRNA". It matches the Rfam family "Bacterial large subunit ribosomal RNA", at positions 1438 to 2925 of the family's 2925-position model. The record is from RNAcentral.
CCGUCACCACCAAAAGAGUUAAGCACAGGGACACAUUUGAAGUCUCAGAGCCGGGUGUUGGUUCCGGUAGAGAUCGAGGGAAGUUAGUACCGAAGUCUGAGAUGGAAGAUGGCGAGAAAAGCUGUGUGUAUUUCUGAGGUGCCCGUACCGCAAACCGACACAGGUAGGUAGGAAGAAGAUUCUAAGGCCAACGGGAGAAGGGUUGUUAAAGAACUCGGCAAAUUGACCCCGUAACUUCGGGAGAAGGGGUGCUCCAGAGAUGGAGCCGCAGAGAAUCGGCCCAAGCAACUGUUUACCAAAAACACAGGUUUGUGCUAAAUCGAAAGAUGACGUAUACGAGCUGACGCCUGCCCGGUGCUGGAAGGUUAAGAGGAGAUGUGCAAGCAUUGAAUCGAAGCCCCAGUGAACGGCGGCCGUAACGAUAACGGUCCUAAGGUAGCGAAAUUCCUUGUCAGGUAAGUUCUGACCCGCAUGAAAGGCGUAAUGAUUUGGGCACUGUCUCAACAGCCCGCCCGGCGAAAUUGUAGUACCGGUGAAGAUGCCGGUUACCCGCGACAAGACGGAAAGACCCCAUGGAGCUUUACUGUAGCCUAAUAUUGGGUUUCGAUGUUGCAUGCACAGGAUAGAUGGGACACAGGGAAACAAUCGCUUUGGCGGUUGCGGAGUGGCCGUUGGGAUACCAUCCUUGCGAUACUGGAAUUCUAACCUGCGGCUCUGAAUCGAGUCGGGGGACAUUGUUAGGUGGGCAGUUUGACUGGGGCGGUCGCCUCCUAAAAAGUAACGGAGGCGUUCAAAGGUUCGCUCAGCUUGAACGGAAAUCAAGCAAAGGAGUGCAAACGCAGAAGCGAGCCUAACUGCGAGACUGACGGGUCGAGCAGUAACGAAAGUUGGAGUUAGUGAUCCGGUGGUAUGUGAGUGGAGAUGCCAUCGCUCAACGGAUAAAAGUUACCCUGGGGAUAACAGGCUGAUCUCCCCCAAGAGUCCACAUCGACGGGGAGGUUUGGCACCUCGAUGUCGGCUCAUCGCAUCCUGGGGCUGUAUUCGGUCCCAAGGGUUUGGCUGUUCGCCAAUUAAAGCGGUACGCGAGCUGGGUUCAGAACGUCGUGAGACAGUUCGGUCCCUAUCUGUCGUGGGCGCAGGAUAUUUGAUGGGAGCUGUCCCUAGUACGAGAGGACCGGGACGGACGUACCUCUGGCGCACCAGUUGUUCCACCAGGAGCAUAGCUGGGCAACUACGUACGGAUCGGAUAAACGCUGAAAGCAUCUAAGCGUGAAGCCGACCCAAAGAUAAGAUAUCCCACUGAUUAGAUCAGGUAAGAUCCCUUGAAGACUACAAGGUUGAUAGGCACGAUGUGUAAGUGGAGUGUUCCAUUCAGCAAGAGUGUACUAAUAGAUCGAGGGCUUGACC